Molecule: transfer RNA, 76 nt
Filed under: Rhodospirillales bacterium CG15_BIG_FIL_POST_REV_8_21_14_020_66_15
Lineage: Bacteria; Pseudomonadati; Pseudomonadota; Alphaproteobacteria; Rhodospirillales
Also listed under: 1 other name
Description: tRNA-Lys
Rfam family: tRNA
About the family: Transfer RNA (tRNA) molecules are approximately 80 nucleotides in length. Their secondary structure includes four short double-helical elements and three loops (D, anti-codon, and T loops).
Source: RNAcentral
GCGCGCUUAGCUCAGUUGGUAGAGCAACUGACUUUUAAUCAGUAGGUCACAGGUUCGAUCCCUGUAGCGCGUACCA